CAGCCGCCGCGGUAAUACGAAGGGUGCAAGCGUUAAUCGGAAUUACUGGGCGUAAAGGGUGCGUAGGCGGUUAUAUAAGACAGAUGUGAAAUCCCCGGGCUCAACCUGGGACCUGCAUUUGUGACUGUAUAGCUAGAGUACGGUAGAGGGGGAUGGAAUACCGCGUGUAGCAGUGAAAUGCGUAGAUAUGCGGAGGAACACCGAUGGCGAAGGCAAUCCCCUGGACCUGUACUGACGCUCAUGCACGAAAGCGUGGGGAGCAAACAGGAUUAGAUACCCCCGUAGUCCCUGUCUCUUAUAC
This 301-nucleotide ribosomal RNA is filed under the name uncultured bacterium. Its description in RNAcentral is "partial 16S ribosomal RNA". It matches the Rfam family "Bacterial small subunit ribosomal RNA", at positions 509 to 807 of the family's 1533-position model. The record is from RNAcentral.